Molecule: ribosomal RNA, 459 nt
Filed under: uncultured bacterium
Lineage: Bacteria
Description: bacterial SSU rRNA
Rfam family: Bacterial small subunit ribosomal RNA
Source: RNAcentral
AGAGUUUGAUCAUGGCUCAGAUUGAACGCUGGCGGCAGGCUUAACACAUGCAAGUCGAACGGUAACAGAACUAGCUUGCUAGUUGCUGACGAGUGGCGGACGGGUGAGUAACGCGUAGGAAUCUACCGAAUAGUGGGGGACAACAGUUGGAAACGGCUGCUAAUACCGCAUACGCCCUACGGGGGAAAGGAGGGGAUCUUCGGACCUUUCGCUAUUUGAUGAGCCUGCGUGAGAUUAGUUAGUUGGUGGGGUAAUGGCUCACCAAGGCGACGAUCUCUAGCUGGUCUGAGAGGAUGAUCAGCCACACUGGGACUGAGACACGGCCCAGACUCCUACGGGAGNCAGCAGUGGGGAAUAUUGCACAAUGGGGGAAACCCUGAUGCAGCCAUGCCGCGUGUGUGAAGAAGNCCUUCGGGUUGUAAAGCACUUUCAGUUGUGAGGAAAGGUUAAGGGUUAAUA